UGCAUGAACGAAACCAAUAAUCCUUGUAG
Molecule: non-coding RNA, 29 nt
Filed under: Mus musculus (house mouse)
Lineage: Eukaryota; Metazoa; Chordata; Mammalia; Rodentia; Muridae
Source: RNAcentral